UUGGUGCCUUCGGGAACUGUGAGACAGGUGCUGCAUGGCUGUCGUCAGUUCGUGUUGUGAAAUGUUGGGUUAAGUCCCGCAACGAGCGCAACCCUUAUCCUUUGUUGCCAGCGGUUCGGCCGGGAACUCAAAGGAGACUGCCAGUGAUAAACUGGAGGAAGGUGGGGAUGACGUCAAGUCAUCAUGGCCCUUACGACCAGGGCUACACACGUGCUACAAUGGCAUAUACAAAGAGAAGCGACCU
Molecule: ribosomal RNA, 244 nt
Filed under: Klebsiella pneumoniae
Lineage: Bacteria; Pseudomonadati; Pseudomonadota; Gammaproteobacteria; Enterobacterales; Enterobacteriaceae
Description: partial 16S ribosomal RNA
Rfam family: Bacterial small subunit ribosomal RNA
Source: RNAcentral